Molecule: ribosomal RNA, 548 nt
Filed under: Enterococcus faecium
Lineage: Bacteria; Bacillati; Bacillota; Bacilli; Lactobacillales; Enterococcaceae
Description: bacterial SSU rRNA
Rfam family: Bacterial small subunit ribosomal RNA
Source: RNAcentral
UUUUGAUUUGAAAGGCGCUUUCGGGUGUCGCUGAUGGAUGGACCCGCGGUGCAUUAGCUAGUUGGUGAGGUAACGGCUCACCAAGGCCACGAUGCAUAGCCGACCUGAGAGGGUGAUCGGCCACAUUGGGACUGAGACACGGCCCAAACUCCUACGGGAGGCAGCAGUAGGGAAUCUUCGGCAAUGGACGAAAGUCUGACCGAGCAACGCCGCGUGAGUGAAGAAGGUUUUCGGAUCGUAAAACUCUGUUGUUAGAGAAGAACAAGGAUGAGAGUAACUGUUCAUCCCUUGACGGUAUCUAACCAGAAAGCCACGGCUAACUACGUGCCAGCAGCCGCGGUAAUACGUAGGUGGCAAGCGUUGUCCGGAUUUAUUGGGCGUAAAGCGAGCGCAGGCGGUUUCUUAAGUCUGAUGUGAAAGCCCCCGGCUCAACCGGGGAGGGUCAUUGGAAACUGGGAGACUUGAGUGCAGAAGAGGAGAGUGGAAUUCCAUGUGUAGCGGUGAAAUGCGUAGAUAUAUGGAGGAACACCAGUGGCGAAGGCGGCUCU